This 124-nucleotide non-coding RNA is filed under the name Candidatus Paraburkholderia kirkii UZHbot1. RNAcentral's name for it is "Candidatus Burkholderia kirkii UZHbot1 TPP riboswitch aptamer (THI element)". It matches the Rfam family "TPP riboswitch aptamer (THI element)". From Rfam's summary of the family: Vitamin B(1) in its active form thiamin pyrophosphate (TPP) is an essential coenzyme that is synthesised by coupling of pyrimidine and thiazole moieties in bacteria. The record is from Rfam by way of RNAcentral. RNAcentral also lists the same sequence under 1 other name. Lineage: Bacteria; Pseudomonadati; Pseudomonadota; Betaproteobacteria; Burkholderiales; Burkholderiaceae.
UCGAUGAAACAGGGGUGCUUCGCGCGCAUCGGCAACGGAUCGAUUGGCAGCGCGGUGAGGCUGAGAGAGACCCUUUGCACCCGAUCCGGGUAAUACCGGCGAGGGAAGUUUCCGGAGAACGCCC